UCGGAUGUAGUGCACGGCGCACACCCGCUUUCCAUUCGCAAGAAAGAAUACAGCAGCGGGAAACCCGGGUUCAACUCCCGGCGUCCGAA
This is a non-coding RNA of Mycena epipterygia, 89 nucleotides long. The record is from the annotation of a GenBank genome assembly. NCBI's taxonomy places the organism in Eukaryota, Fungi, Basidiomycota, Agaricomycetes, Agaricales, Mycenaceae.